AAACCAGGUGAUGAAUUUGGAUUCAAAAUCUCACGACGGUCGUCUGAGACGCUACCGCGUCGAUUUUGAUGCAGAUGUUCCAAAAUUUCUGAUGGUU
This 97-nucleotide small nucleolar RNA is filed under the name Nelumbo nucifera (sacred lotus). Its description in RNAcentral is "Small nucleolar RNA Z161/Z228". It matches the Rfam family "Small nucleolar RNA Z161/Z228". From Rfam's summary of the family: Z161 and Z228 are members of the C/D class of snoRNA which contain the C (UGAUGA) and D (CUGA) box motifs. Most of the members of the box C/D family function in directing site-specific 2'-O-methylation of substrate RNAs. Lineage: Eukaryota; Viridiplantae; Streptophyta; Magnoliopsida; Proteales; Nelumbonaceae. The record is from Rfam by way of RNAcentral.